RNAcentral lists this ribosomal RNA (447 nucleotides) under uncultured bacterium. RNAcentral's name for it is "partial 16S ribosomal RNA". It matches the Rfam family "Bacterial small subunit ribosomal RNA", at positions 29 to 523 of the family's 1533-position model. The record is from RNAcentral.
AACGAACGCUGGCGGCAGGCUUAACACAUGCAAGUCGAGCGCCCCGCAAGGGGAGCGGCAGACGGGUGAGUAACGCGUGGGAACAUACCCUUUCCCGCGGACUCGCUCCGGGAAACUGGAAUUAAUACCGCCUACGCCCUACGGGGGAAAGAUUUAUCGGGGAAGGAUUGGCCCGCGUGGGAUUAGCUAGUUGGUGGGGUAAAGGCCUACCAAGGCGACGAUCCAUAGCUGGUCUGAGAGGAUGAUCAGCCACAUUGGGACUGAGACACGGCCCAAACUCCUACGGGAGGCAGCAGUGGGGAAUAUUGGACAAUGGGCGCAAGCCUGAUCCAGCCAUGCCGCGUGAGUGAUGAAGGCCUUAGGGUUGUAAAGCUCUUUCACCGGAGAAGAUAAUGACGGUAUCCGGAGAAGAAGCCCCGGCUAACUUCGUGCCAGCCGCCGCGGUAA